GAGGGGGUGGUUUAAAAAAAAUGUAGGGUUGUCAGCCCUUCGAUGUAAUUAACUUUACCCCCCUUU
RNAcentral lists this transfer RNA (66 nucleotides) under Scrobicularia plana. RNAcentral describes it as "tRNA-Asp". The record is from RNAcentral. Lineage: Eukaryota; Metazoa; Mollusca; Bivalvia; Cardiida; Scrobiculariidae.